This 429-nucleotide ribosomal RNA is filed under the name Bacteroidota bacterium. RNAcentral's name for it is "Bacteroidetes bacterium partial 16S ribosomal RNA". It matches the Rfam family "Bacterial small subunit ribosomal RNA", at positions 355 to 776 of the family's 1533-position model. The record is from RNAcentral. Lineage: Bacteria; Pseudomonadati; Bacteroidota.
UAGGGAAUCUUCGGCAAUGGGGGGAACCCUGACCGAGCAACGCCGCGUGAGUGAAGAAGGUUUUCGGAUCGUAAAGCUCUGUUGUUAAGGAAGAACGAGUGUGAGAAUGGAAAGUUCAUGCUGUGACGGUACUUAACCAGAAAGGGACGGCUAACUACGUGCCAGCAGCCGCGGUAAUACGUAGGUCCCGAGCGUUGUCCGGAUUUAUUGGGCGUAAAGCGAGGGCAGGCGGUUAGAAAAGUCUGAAGUGAAAGGCAGUGGCUCAACCAUUGUAGGCUUUGGAAACUGUUUAACUCGAGUGCAGAAGGGGAGAGUGGAAUUCCAUGUGUAGCGGUGAAAUGCGUAGAUAUAUGGAGGAACACCGGUGGCGAAAGCGGCUCUCUGGUCUGUAACUGACGCUGAGGCUCGAAAGCGUGGGGAGCGAACAGG